UGGUAGCAACAAGGCAAACUC
RNAcentral lists this non-coding RNA (21 nucleotides) under Mus musculus (house mouse). Lineage: Eukaryota; Metazoa; Chordata; Mammalia; Rodentia; Muridae. The record is from RNAcentral.